CUCUUAUCAAGAGAGGUGGAGGGAAGUGCCCUAUGAAGCCCGGCAACCAUCAACUUACUUAGAGUUGAAGUGGUGCCAAUUCACUCAAAGCGUAUGCUUUGAAAGAUGAGAG
Molecule: non-coding RNA, 112 nt
Filed under: Metabacillus harenarius
Lineage: Bacteria; Bacillati; Bacillota; Bacilli; Caryophanales; Bacillaceae
Description: Bacillus weihaiensis SAM-I sequence
Rfam family: SAM riboswitch aptamer (S box leader)
About the family: The SAM riboswitch is found upstream of a number of genes which code for proteins involved in methionine or cysteine biosynthesis in Gram-positive bacteria. The SAM riboswitch acts at the level of transcription termination control.
Source: Rfam by way of RNAcentral